Molecule: ribosomal RNA, 770 nt
Filed under: Staphylococcus aureus
Lineage: Bacteria; Bacillati; Bacillota; Bacilli; Caryophanales; Staphylococcaceae
Description: partial 23S ribosomal RNA
Rfam family: Bacterial large subunit ribosomal RNA
Source: RNAcentral
AAAUAGCUUUAGGGCUAGCCUCAAGUGAUGAUUAUUGGAGGUAGAGCACUGUUUGGACGAGGGGCCCCUCUCGGGUUACCGAAUUCAGACAAACUCCGAAUGCCAAUUAAUUUAACUUGGGAGUCAGAACAUGGGUGAUAAGGUCCGUGUUCGAAAGGGAAACAGCCCAGACCACCAGCUAAGGUCCCAAAAUAUAUGUUAAGUGGAAAAGGAUGUGGCGUUGCCCAGACAACUAGGAUGUUGGCUUAGAAGCAGCCAUCAUUUAAAGAGUGCGUAAUAGCUCACUAGUCGAGUGACACUGCGCCGAAAAUGUACCGGGGCUAAACAUAUUACCGAAGCUGUGGAUUGUCCUUUGGACAAUGGUAGGAGAGCGUUCUAAGGGCGUUGAAGCAUGAUCGUAAGGACAUGUGGAGCGCUUAGAAGUGAGAAUGCCGGUGUGAGUAGCGAAAGACGGGUGAGAAUCCCGUCCACCGAUUGACUAAGGUUUCCAGAGGAAGGCUCGUCCGCUCUGGGUUAGUCGGGUCCUAAGCUGAGGCCGACAGGCGUAGGCGAUGGAUAACAGGUUGAUAUUCCUGUACCACCUAUAAUCGUUUUAAUCGAUGGGGGGACGCAGUAGGAUAGGCGAAGCGUGCGAUUGGAUUGCACGUCUAAGCAGUAAGGCUGAGUAUUAGGCAAAUCCGGUACUCGUUAAGGCUGAGCUGUGAUGGGGAGAAGACAUUGUGUCUUCGAGUCGUUGAUUUCACACUGCCGAGAAAAGCCUCUAGAUAGAA